Molecule: transfer RNA, 75 nt
Filed under: Candidatus Pacearchaeota archaeon
Lineage: Archaea; Nanobdellati
Description: tRNA-Ile
Rfam family: tRNA
About the family: Transfer RNA (tRNA) molecules are approximately 80 nucleotides in length. Their secondary structure includes four short double-helical elements and three loops (D, anti-codon, and T loops).
Source: RNAcentral
GAGCCCGUAGCUCAGCCAGGUCAGAGCGCUGGUCUUAUAAGCCAGAGGUCCCAGGUUCAAAUCCUGGCGGGCUCA